GCGGGAGUAGCUCAGCGGUAGAGCAUCUCGUUGCCAACGAGAAGGUCGCCGGUUCGAAUCCGGUCUCCCGCU
Molecule: transfer RNA, 72 nt
Filed under: Fodinibius sp.
Lineage: Bacteria; Pseudomonadati; Balneolota; Balneolia; Balneolales; Balneolaceae
Description: tRNA-Gly
Rfam family: tRNA
About the family: Transfer RNA (tRNA) molecules are approximately 80 nucleotides in length.
Source: RNAcentral